This 708-nucleotide long non-coding RNA is filed under the name Homo sapiens (human). RNAcentral's name for it is "non-protein coding lnc-CD44-7:7". Lineage: Eukaryota; Metazoa; Chordata; Mammalia; Primates; Hominidae. The record is from RNAcentral.
GGGGCUGCCUCUGGAAUGCACACCAGGGCUUGUCCACACACACUCCCCGGCCCUCUGCGCCUCUUUAGGGAGGUUCCUGCUGCUGGAUCUGCUGCCUUCUUCACCUUGAGAGUGCAUUUAUGUAACAAGAAAACACCUGGGUGUUUUCACAGCUCUGCCCUCAUCAUGAGACCAUGCCCAGGCUAGUCUGCUGGAAGGAAGUCAGAGGCACACGGAAGAGAGCCACAUUCAGCCAAGGCCAUUCUAGACCAGUUGUUCCCUGUCACUUCACUAAUUGGCCACAGCACAAGGUACACGGAUGGAGCUGGAAGCCAUUAUCCUCAGCAAACUAAUGUAGGAACAGAAAACCAAAUAUUGCAUGUUCUUACUUAUAAGUGGGAGCUGAACAACGAGAACACAUGGACACAGGGAGGGAAACAACACACACUGGGGCCUGUCCAGCAGUAAGGUUGAGGCAGGGAAAGCAUUAGGAAAAAUAGCUAUGCAUGCUGGGCUGAAUACUGGGUGAUGGAUUGAUAGGUGCAGCAAACCACCAUGGCAUAUGUUUACCUUUGUAAGAAACCAGCACAUCCUGCACAUGUACCCUGGAACUUAAAAUAAAAAUUAAAAUGUUUUUUAAAAAAGUCAUGAUGUUUUCUCAGCAGCCCAGUUUACUUUUCCAGACCCCUCUGGCAUGUGUUACUCCAGAAAAAGGCCGGUGUGUGUGAA